This 550-nucleotide ribosomal RNA is filed under the name uncultured bacterium. Its description in RNAcentral is "bacterial SSU rRNA". It matches the Rfam family "Bacterial small subunit ribosomal RNA", at positions 355 to 896 of the family's 1533-position model. The record is from RNAcentral.
UAGGGAAUCUUCGGCAAUGGACGGAAGUCUGACCGAGCAACGCCGCGUGAGUGAAGAAGGUUUUCGGAUCGUAAAGCUCUGUUGUAAGAGAAGAACGAGUGUGAGAGUGGAAAGUUCACACUGUGACGGUAUCUUACCAGAAAGGGACGGCUAACUACGUGCCAGCAGCCGCGGUAAUACGUAGGUCCCGAGCGUUGUCCGGAUUUAUUGGGCGUAAAGCGGGCGCAGGCGGUUAGAUAAGUCUGAAGUUAAAGGCUGUGGCUUAACCAUAGUACGCUUUGGAAACUGUUUAACUUGAGUGCAAGAGGGGAGAGUGGAAUUCCAUGUGUAGCGGUGAAAUGCGUAGAUAUAUGGAGGAACACCGGUGGCGAAAGCGGCUCUCUGGCUUGUAACUGACGCUGAGGCUCGAAAGCGUGGGGAGCAAACAGGAUUAGAUACCCUGGUAGUCCACGCCGUAAACGAUGAGUGCUAGGUGUUAGACCCUUUCCGGGGUUUAGUGCCGCAGCUAACGCAUUAAGCACUCCGCCUGGGGAGUACGACCGCAAGGUUG